UAGGGAAUUUUCCACAAUGGGCGCAAGCCUGAUGGAGCAACGCCGCGUGAGGGAUGAAUCAUUUCGGUGUGUAAACCUCUUUGGAGCGGGAAGAACGCCGUUUGGGUGAACAAUCCAGACGGGUGACGGUACCGCUAGAACAAGACACGGCUAACUUCGUGCCAGCAGCCGCGGUAAUACGAAGGUGUCAAACGUUGUCCGGAAUAACUGGGCGUAAAGGGCGCGUAGGCGGUCAGGUAAGUCAGAUGUGAAAGCUCUGGGCUCAACCCAGGAAUUGCAUUUGAAACUGCCAGACUUGAGUUCGGUAGAGGAGGGCGGAAUUCCAGGUGUAGCGGUGAAAUGCGUAGAUAUCUGGAGGAACACCCGUGGCGAAGGCGGCUCUCUGGUCCGAUACUGACGCUGAGGCGCGAAAGCUAGGGUAGCAAACAG
Molecule: ribosomal RNA, 429 nt
Filed under: uncultured bacterium
Lineage: Bacteria
Description: bacterial SSU rRNA
Rfam family: Bacterial small subunit ribosomal RNA
Source: RNAcentral